GACGAACGCUGGCGGCGUGCUUAACACAUGCAAGUCGAACGGAAAGGCCCUGCUUUUGUGGGGUGCUCGAGUGGCGAACGGGUGAGUAACACGUGAGUAACCUGCCCUUGACUUUGGGAUAACUUCAGGAAACUGGGGCUAAUACCGGAUAGGAGCUCCUGCUGCAUGGUGGGGGUUGGAAAGUUUCGGCGGUUGGGGAUGGACUCGCGGCUUAUCAGCUUGUUGGUGGGGUAGUGGCUUACCAAGGCUUUGACGGGUAGCCGGCCUGAGAGGGUGACCGGCCACAUUGGGACUGAGAUACGGCCCAGACUCCUACGGGAGGCAGCAGUGGGGAAUAUUGCACAAUGGGCGGAAGCCUGAUGCAGCAACGCCGCGUGCGGGAUGACGGCCUUCGGGUUGUAAACUGCUUUCGCCUGUGACGAAGCGUGAGUGACGGUAAUGGGUAAAGAAGCACCGGCUAACUACGUGCCAGCAGCCGCGGUGAUACGUAGGGUGCGAGCGUUGUCCGGAUUUAUUGGGCGUAAAGGGCUCGUAGGUGGUUGAUCGCGUCGGAAGUGUAAUCUUGGGGCUUAACCCUGAGCGUGCUUUCGAUACGGGUUGACUUGAGGAAGGUAGGGGAGAAUGGAAUUCCUGGUGGAGCGGUGGAAUGCGCAGAUAUCAGGAGGAACACCAGUGGCGAAGGCGGUUCUCUGGGCCUUUCCUGACGCUGAGGAGCGAAAGCGUGGGGAGCGAACAGGCUUAGAUACCCUGGUAGUCCACGCUGUAAACGGUGGGUACUAGGUGUGGGGUCCAUUCCACGGGUUCCGUGCCGUAGCUAACGCUUUAAGUACCCCGCCUGGGGAGUACGGCCGCAAGGCUAAAACUCAAAGGAAUUGACGGGGCCCCGCACAAGCGGCGGAGCAUGCGGAUUAAUUCGAUGCAACGCGUAGAACCUUACCUGGGUUUGACAUGGAUCGGGAGUGCUCAGAGAUGGGUGUGCCUCUUUUGGGGUCGGUUCACAGGUGGUGCAUGGCUGUCGUCAGCUCGUGUCGUGAGAUGUUGGGUUAAGUCCCGCAACGAGCGCAACCCUUGUUCACUGUUGCCAGCACGUUAUGGUGGGGACUCAGUGGAGACCGCCGGGGUCAACUCGGAGGAAGGUGGGGAUGACGUCAAGUCAUCAUGCCCCUUAUGUCCAGGGCUUCACGCAUGCUACAAUGGCUGGUACAGAGAGUGGCGAGCCUGUGAGGGUGAGCGAAUCUCGGAAAGCCGGUCUCAGUUCGGAUUGGGGUCUGCAACUCGACCUCAUGAAGUCGGAGUCGCUAGUAAUCGCAGAUCAGCAACGCUGCGGUGAAUACGUUCCCGGGGCU
RNAcentral lists this ribosomal RNA (1346 nucleotides) under uncultured bacterium. RNAcentral describes it as "partial 16S ribosomal RNA". It matches the Rfam family "Bacterial small subunit ribosomal RNA", at positions 28 to 1381 of the family's 1533-position model. The record is from RNAcentral.